CAACUUUCAACAAUGGAUCUCUUGGUUCUCGCAUCGUUGAAGAACGCAGCGAAAUGCGAUAAGUAAUGUGAAUUGCAGAUCUCAGUGAAUCAUCGAAUCUUUGAACGCACCUUGCGCUCUUUGGUAUUCCAAAGGGCAUGCCUGUUUGAGUGUCAUUA
Molecule: ribosomal RNA, 158 nt
Filed under: Tricholomopsis flammula
Lineage: Eukaryota; Fungi; Basidiomycota; Agaricomycetes; Agaricales
Description: 5.8S ribosomal RNA
Rfam family: 5.8S ribosomal RNA
About the family: 5.8S ribosomal RNA (5.8S rRNA) is a component of the large subunit of the eukaryotic ribosome.
Source: RNAcentral